This 253-nucleotide ribosomal RNA is filed under the name uncultured bacterium. RNAcentral describes it as "partial 16S ribosomal RNA". It matches the Rfam family "Bacterial small subunit ribosomal RNA", at positions 524 to 776 of the family's 1533-position model. The record is from RNAcentral.
UACGGAGGGUGCAAGCGUUAAUCGGAAUUACUGGGCGUAAAGCGCACGCAGGCGGUUGGAUAAGUUAGAUGUGAAAGCCCCGGGCUCAACCUGGGAAUUGCAUCUGAAACUGGUUGGCUAGAGUCUUGUAGAGGGGGGUAGAAUUCCAUGUGUAGCGGUGAAAUGCGUAGAGAUGUGGAGGAAUACCGGUGGCGAAGGCGGCCCCCUGGACAAAGACUGACGCUCAGGUGCGAAAGCGUGGGGAGCAAACAGG